UCUACUUUUGUAGUUUUGUUAUCUUAUUUAGGCCACGGAUUUUAGUAAUUUCAAAUUGAACCCUCUGUUUUCAUUUUUUGUAAUUCUACAUUUACCCCUACGAUUUUUAGUUUCCAAAUUUCCCCUCUCCACCCUUAAACAUAAUUUGUGAUUCUGCUAGGGUUCUUGACGUUUUCGGCAGUCUGUCUUCUUCCGUCGUCGCUGUUUGUGCAAUGUGUGUCGCUGUCGUCGCCCUGUUUCUCUUUCUCGCCACCAACUCUGACUUUAUUCCUUCUCCCUCCGCCUCUGCCUCUGCCACCUACUCCAAACGCAUCAAGGAGGUGCAGUUUCAUCCAGAGAGCAUUGUAUAACAACUGAAGAAAUGGAAUUGAGGAAAAUGAGGCUGGUAGUUCACAAAAAUAUUUAAUUAGAAACGAAUGUUUAUCCAUUGUAACACUUGUAUUUUGCGGGCUAACAUACAUGAAAGAAAAACAUUUUUAGCAAAACCAUUAAAGAACAGUUUAUUCUAUUUAGACCAUAGCUUAGGAUUUUAUUAAUUAAAUAGUAGAAAACUCAAGAUGAUGUGAAAUUGAUCCUAGUGAAUACCCCCAAAUAAUUUAGAAUUAAAAGCCUAUAUUGAUAUUGAACAA
Non-coding RNA from Arachis ipaensis, 629 nucleotides. NCBI's taxonomy places the organism in Eukaryota, Viridiplantae, Streptophyta, Magnoliopsida, Fabales, Fabaceae. The record is from RefSeq and is a predicted model, not a curated record.